RNAcentral lists this ribosomal RNA (253 nucleotides) under uncultured microorganism. RNAcentral describes it as "partial 16S ribosomal RNA". It matches the Rfam family "Bacterial small subunit ribosomal RNA", at positions 524 to 776 of the family's 1533-position model. The record is from RNAcentral.
UACAUAGGGUGCAAGCGUUGUCCGGAAUUAUUGGGCGUAAAGAGCUCGUAGGUCGUUUGUUACGUCGGAUGUGAAAACCUGAGGCUCAACCUCAGGCCUGCAUUCGAUACGGGCAAACUAGAGUUUGGUAGGGGAGACUGGAAUUCCUGGUGUAGCGGUGGAAUGCGCAGAUAUCGGGAGGAACACCGAUGGCGAAGGCAGCCCCCUGGGCCUGUACUGACGCUCAUGCACGAAAGCGUGGGGAGCAAACAGG